This 253-nucleotide ribosomal RNA is filed under the name uncultured bacterium. RNAcentral's name for it is "partial 16S ribosomal RNA". It matches the Rfam family "Bacterial small subunit ribosomal RNA", at positions 524 to 776 of the family's 1533-position model. The record is from RNAcentral.
UACGGGGGGGGCAAGCGUUGUUCGGAAUUACUGGGCGUAAAGGGCUCGUAGGUGGCCAACUAAGUCAGACGUGAAAUCCCUCGGCUUAACCGGGGAACUGCGUCUGAUACUGGAUGGCUUGAGUUCGGGAGAGGGAUGCGGAAUUCCAGGUGUAGCGGUGAAAUGCGUAGAUAUCUGGAGGAACACCGAUGGCGAAGGCAGCCCCCUGGGCCAAUACUGACGCUCAGGCACGAAAGCGUGGGGAGCAAACAGG